This is a small nucleolar RNA of Mus pahari (shrew mouse), 129 nucleotides long. RefSeq annotates it as small nucleolar RNA SNORA17. The transcript has a single exon. The record is from RefSeq and is a predicted model, not a curated record. NCBI's taxonomy places the organism in Eukaryota, Metazoa, Chordata, Mammalia, Rodentia, Muridae.
CCUGCCCCUAGAGGCAUUGCAGAUGUGGCUGAUAUGUCACAUGUGUGUCAGGUGCAAAGAGGAGAGAGGCUAUGUCUAUGCACAGUGUUCUGACACUAUAAACAUCUGAAUGAUCAGUAGCCUAACAUU